GGUUGAUCUUAUCAUUGCAGCACAGACGCUAAAAAGGGGACCGGCAUCAAAUCUACUUCCCUCAUACUGAAAGCUGGCAGGACUGAUUCAUCCUCUUUUGUUUUGCUUAGGAGGUUAGUACAGUACGUCACAUGCAUUUGAAUAAAAUCAAUGAAAGAAGAUAUUUUGGACAGAAACUGCACAAUUGAAAAAAAACAAACUGAAACACCUCUCUUACAAUAAAAGCACAAAUGAAAUUCAUGUUUUCACAUGUGAAAACAUGUAAAAUAUAAAGAGUUCUGAUCAUUGUAUGACACUACAGCUGCAAUGAUUAGUCGAUAAAUCAAUUAGUCAAUGUAAAGAAAAUUAAUCAAGUGUUUCAGUAAUUUUUCAAGCAAAAAUGCUAAACAUUUGUGGUUUACUUUUACAUAGAAAAGCUGGAACCAGCAAACCUAUAAAUCAGGAACUAAUGCUACUCGUGUUCUUUCUCCUUUAUGUUCAUGAAUCAGUAGUCGUAUUGUUUAACACAUCGCAAAACUAAAAGGAAGUGAACUCUCGCUAGUGUUCAGAAACAACAUACAUACUUUCAUGCCAAUGGACAUCUAAAAGGCAAUCUUGUAAAUGACUGGUUGCUUUUGGAACUUUGAACCAUUUCAGUCAGAAAUGUGGGGCUAAAUAAAGCAGGAAAAACAUAUGGAUGUGGAGUUCCAUCUGAAUGAGGAAUCAGAGAGGGGGCAGUGAGGAGGAAAGAGAGGGAGGGGGGCAGCACGUGAUGAGGUCCUGAACUAACAUGACUUACAGUGGCAGAAAAACACCCACUCAUUUGUAAUAAGCACCAAAACCACACACAGAGAGAGAGAGUUGGCCUGACACAGUGGCAUGCACAUGAAUGCGUGUGUUUAAACUCUAUUAACAGUGCAGGUAAUGUGGUGUGUAUUAUGACCACUAUAUGACACCUGAGUUUAUUGUUGGUAUGUGUUAUGCAACAAAUUAACACCUCAGGCUUAAGGAAAAAAAGCCUUUUAUUGACGAUGUGUUAUUCUGCACUGCACUAUUGUUGAGACACAAUAAUGGGUGUAUCCAUUUGCCUCGCAUGAUGAUGACGACAAUGACUAUGAUGAUAGAAUUCCUGGUAGUGAUCAGCUCUUAUCAGAUGCGGGUGUUUCCAUUUGCCAAUUUGUGGAGCAUUGUGAUCUUUCUGCCUUUUAACAGCUCUCUCCUGGUGCAAGGAUGUGCCUGAUAAGGACUCCAUUAGCUGCUCUGUGUCCUUUGUGUAUGUGUAUAACUUAUCCUGACCCACCUCAGGAAGCUGAUGUUGUCAUAUUCAAUAAAACCUUAAGCUUUCAUAUUUAAUGCCUGUUUGUUUUUUUCCUUUGGCACUCCACGGCAGAUUCUGUACACUGGUAAAAUCAAUAAAUCAUUCCCAAAUGCUGAGAAGUGAUUUAAUAAAUGGUAAAUGGUACUCUUGAAAUGGUACUCUUGGUUACCAGUGGCCUCAAUCAAUCAUGAAGUUAUAACACAGAAAACAAUGUCACAACAUGGUUUAUUUUGGAAUGUCUCAAAUACAGACGUUUCAUUUAGUAUAACUAAUAAUAUUUCUGUGCUUUAAGUGUUGGGACUAAAACUGAAAUGGUUCUUCUGGUUGAACAAACAUGUUUCAAGUCGCCUGUUUUAGAUCAGCAGAGAAGCUGGGGGGGGGUACUCAUGCUUUAAAGCUUAAGUAAAAUAUUAAAAUUAAUCUCUAAAUCUGUUCUUAAUCCUGCUUGUAAUACAUGCAAUGUUUGCCAAAUUUACUGCAAUGGGGACACAUGCAGAAUAAUGAUUGUCAACCAAAUUCAUUCUGACAUGGACAAAAGACUGAUUACCUUCUUUUACUCUGUAAAUAUUAUUAACACUGAAAUGGUAUUAACUCAGAAAGUGAUCAACUGACAUAUUUCAAUUGUAAGGCUCAAGUGCUUCCUUUCUCUUGAUCAAUCAUGUGAAAGGAGCAGUGUGGGCGGUGUCAGCACACCUCCAGCUUUGUAUCCUAGUUUUUCUCUCGUUUAAAAACAGGUGAAGUUGGCUUUUACAAUAUUGGAAAUGACUGGCCUGCUGAUGGAGCUCUGUGGCGCCUGCAUGUGUGUUCACUGAAGGCCCACGUUGUUGUAAUAAGCAGAAGGCAGGUGGGUCUGGUUGGUCAGGUGCCUGCGUGCAGUUCUUUAAGAAGUCACGUGAUCUGACGCAAAGCAGGUUAUUCUGGUUUUCCACAACAUGCUCAAAAGAAGCUGAAGUACCCGCAGCACACCUCUGCAAAAUGGGUGGGCCGAUCACGCAAAGAAGGGGAUAAAAGGUUAUCGGAUGUCUUGUAAGAUGAGCCUUGAGAUAACAAAAACUUCUCUCUCACAGGAACCAACAAGUAGUCUCACCAUGUUCCAAUAAUAUGAGUUUAGUUAGCAUUCAAGCUACUGAAAAGAAUUGUGUUCACUAAAAAUUGCAAUCAAGUGACUGUAGGAACACCUAAUGAAUAAAAAUUACAUACAAGAUACUAUCUUACAUCUUUACAUCUUUAGUAGGUCAUUUGUCCCAAUUUUAGAUUUUAUAACCAAAAUUACAGAACAAAUGGAAAAUAAAUCAUUGACAACCACUUUUUAAAUGACCUAGUAACACAAUUGUGGCUCAUUCCACUCAAAUAUAGGUUAGUAAUCAGUUACCCAGCCAAGGGGGGGACAGGCCUAUAUCAUGUGGCACAGCAUGUAUAAUCAACAAUCAAUGAGGACCACCACAGCUAGAGAAAAAGGGAGAAAAUGAUAAUUGGUUAUUGAUGUGGUUUUAAAUAAGAACAAAUGGCCCCAGAGAUAUGACCCUCCUGAUACUGGGAUUGUUUGGUUUCUUGUGAGGGUUUCCACCGACUAAAUCUGGCAAAGAUGGAAUUCCAUUUAGGCUUCAGCCCUAGCCAUGGACUCCGCUCUGCUAAAGAGGGGGUCAAAUACACAAGGACCUAUUGUUUGCUGAAGAUGAGGGUAGCCUCCACUCCACUCCACCCCCAUCACAUCAUCACUGCAGAGUAUUCAACAGUGAACACACACACAGAGACAGAGAGUGAGAGAGACAGAGACACAGAGAGAGAGAAAAAAAAUGGAGAGAGGACAGAGAACGAAGGAGAGAGAAAGGCAUCACUUCUCCCUCUCAUCUAGUUCUUUUACAGUCUUGCCAAUCUAAAUGCCAGGACAGCUUAGCCCCGAGCCAAGCCAGUGUUUUCAAAGAUCACACAAGCCCAUGAGAUCUGGAGGCAUCCCGUAAAGAUGCUCCAUAAACUGUCUGAUGAUUAUUUUUAAACAGAGAGACAAAAAGAAAUAGAGUGACGUAGGCACAGUGUGAAUGGUUGAGAUAACAAUACUGAAUCCAUGAAGAAAACUCCAGACAGACAAAAUGUCUCUGUUUCUGUCCUUUGAAACAUCCUCUAGUGGCACACAGCAUAAAUAAACUAGACUCAUCUCUCUAUCUGUGCACUCCUGACGCCCUCUAUCAAUCUUACCACUCUGAACCCCAUUUAGGGCAAAGCUUAAAAAAACAACAAAAAAAACAAAACUUCUAACCUUCUUUGAGUCAGUGUUACAGUAGCAGAAAGAGCAUACUGGCAGCUACCCUAUGCUGCUGAGAGAUUUAGAGGAGUGGCCAUACUGGCCUGGGAUAUUUAAGACGGUUGCCAUGCUGGCAGGUCUCUUUGAGCCCUUUGUGCUCCCCUCUCAGCUCCUUUGGCUGGGCAGGGAGGUUGACACCUGCUUGGGGCCUUGGGGUUCCCAGCACUCUGCUGUUCACUGGGCACAGACGCUGGCAGGCUGCCCACUGAGGACAGGGGACAGAGAGGGGGAAACUGGAGCUCUGCCUAUCGGUGCACAAGCACUUCAAAUGUGUUAGUGAGUAUGAAAGAGAAAAAUAUAUUAACCUUUAUCUGAGAAGUGCGUUUAUGUCUUUAUGCAACACAAAUUAUUAGGGGUGUGCCAACCAUUUCAUUUUGAUUGAUCAUAAAAAUCACUGUAUAACCAGAUUUAAACACUGGGUGGGGGGUUCACAGCGACAUACUUUUUGAUUAUUGUUUUUCCCUUCGGCACACACAGUUAGCUAAAUAAGCAUGACCACAAUGACUGCUGAAUUACUAAGGCAGCCUAUUACAACUACACUCUUACCUAAUUAGUAAUUUCUGUAAAAAGCCAGUUAUAAUGGAAAGGAAGAAGGUUUGUUUGCACUUCUUACUCAAGGCUGAGCAGUGUCCUUGUAAAUUACAAAAUUAUAAAGAGAUAGAGUGGUGUCUUCACAGCAAACAAUCUGUUUAAGGUCAACAGGUGUACAAGACGUAUCUUUUGAUUCCAAGCAGGUGUUGGAAAUAUAAAGAAGGAUGACAAUCUGACAAUCUGAGUUGUAUAACCCACCCCCUUCAUGUUCAUUACUGUAAAUGAGGAGGCCCUGGUGGAAAAUAUACAACUGGAUUUUCUGGAAAGUAUGUGCUGUAAGAAACUGGUCAAGAAACUGGUUAGAGGUGGCAGGGUCUGCCCUGAAUGUGCACUUGACUCUUACAGCAGCGUUGAUUGCUCUCCUCUGUUUGUUUGAUGAGUUCUUUACACAUUCCCACCUGGUUGUGACUGAUUGAGCCAUUUGCCUUUACUGUUCCCACCUUGUAGAAAAUCUAGUGUUUUUUUUCUUUCCCAAACAUUGAAGUAAACAUAUCACCUGAACACCUAAUCAGUGUCAUCUCCUGAGCAGAGUCAACCAGAUCCAAACAUAUCUCAUGAUCAAUUUAAAUCAAGUAACUGAUGGAGGAAUCACAGAAUUUUAUAAAUGACAUUGACAAAGAAAUUGUAUUUAAUGUGAAUUAUCAUGUAAUUGCAGAUACCAGACCUGUUUAAUCAGAUUACCCAUAGUUACACUGUAGGCUACGCCAUAGUACAUAGAUGUGCACUUUCUCAAAAAUAUAACUAUACGUCGGUACUACAGUGGCUACGGAUAUACCACGUGGUGACUGCAAGAACUGUGAUUGGCUGCUUGUGUUUUCUCCUAAAAGUUGCUGAUGCUGGUGGAGAUUACUGAGAGCAAAGACAACAUAAUGGAAGUUGAAAAAAGGCUCAGUAAUCUUCUACUUUUCAGUAACAUAUCUAGCCAUUUCCACUGCAACCCAGGAUCUCUAUAACAGUUAGUAAAACAAUGUAAAUACAGUGACUGCACAGAACAGUCUCAUUCAGUAAUGAAACAAGGCGUACCUUCCCACCGAAUAUAACUGAAGCACAAUACGGUCUAAUCAUAUACAAUUCAUACAUUUAGUGUUGGCAGUGGUACUAUCAGUGGGAGAAAACCAACCCCUUGUAUGCGGCUUAAGUGGGGAUUCCGAAUGAAAAUAGAUGCCAGAUGGGUUGCAUUGCAGCAAAAGUUAAACCUGGUUCAACUUUUUUGCCGGAUGACCCUGUGUUGUUUUGCUGGAGCCCCUUGCGUUGGCACCUCCGCUACUUUCGACGGACUGGCUUCAUUCAAGUGAAUGGAGGGCGGAACGUGGCCUAACAGUCAUUUGAUUUUGUUUGUGGUGAUUGCCAUCUGUUAAAGAGCUAAUAAGCAAAUAGUUAUACUUAAAGCGGACUGAAGCUGUAUUAACUAAAUCAACCGUACCUGACUCAAAGAGAAUCUAAUUCUCUGAGGAAAUGGCUGGAUGACACGUAAGACCACAGUGGCUUCACCACUUGCCACUUAAUUUCCAAUGCGGCAGAGUGCAAAAAAGAAGCUCCACAUCCUGUGAGCAGAGAAUAUGGUGAGGAGACAGGGUGUGAUGGAGGGUGAUGCGAGGGAGUUGGACAUUCAGUGCCUGCCAACAACUCCAACCCCUCACUUCUUUUCCCUCUUCUGGCUCUCUUUUCCAUGUACUCACUCAUAAUCAGCAUCAAUGCACAGAGAUGCUCUUCUUCCUUUUGCUGCAGCAUGCCAAGAGGCUGCUACUCUCUUUUUUUUGUGUCUGUUGCUAUAAUACCAAUGGGUCUAACCGCACAUAAACUGUGUAAUGGGAAAUGUAAAAAAAAGUAGUUGGUUUUGUGGAAAGAAUGUCUCUUUUAGCAGUUAAGUAUGACAUUUCCAUGCUGAGCUGCACACUAACUUUGCUCUAAGUUGUUCACCUUCCUCUUAGUGAAAAUAACUUCUGCUGCUUCACACAUACUUCACUGUAAUAUAUCUAUAUCCUAUUGUCAAUUAAUCACUAAGGAGGAGGAAUUGUUCUUUUGUGUGACUACAGCUGUUUCUUAGGCUUCAUCCACACUACUACAUUUUUGUUUUAAAAUGCAUGAGUUUUGCUACAUUUACACAUAGCAUCCACACUACUGCGGCGUUUUCGAGCCCCGAAAAAGGAUAAGGUUGGAAACGUAGUUGACCCCAUUUUUGUUUGAGAACUCCGGGAUUGCAAUUUAGUCUGGACGGGCAAAAACGGAGGCUUAUGGAAAUAAGUCAGUCACUACGUGUCCUUCCAUGAUUCGGCACAUCCCCAUCAUGUGUCCCUUUUCCGGAAGAAAACAAACAAACAAACAAACAAACAUCAGCCUCGACGACCAGUUGCUCAUUCAACGUGGAUAACGAAUUACAGCCGUUGUCUAUGCCUCGUCGUCGGUCCAAGCAAAGAAAUCUCUGGUCUUACUUUUCGCCAUUGCUGUUCUUCGUUCACAGUAUUUACUACAAAUGCGUUUUCAGACGUGUUAGUAUGGAUGAGAUUAUUUCUGAAACGGCUGAAACGCUCGUCUGGACGGAAACGUAGUAGUGUGGAUGUAGCCUUAGACAUUAGACCAACCUGUAACCAUCGCAUGUCAUGUAUACUAUCUUUCCUCUGUCCUUCUGUUACAUUAUACAGUGUUGUUCGUACGAUUCAUUCAUCUAUAUCCUAUAUCACAAUUUGUGUCAGCACGCCUUGCUGAGACGAGCAAUGACAAAACUACAAUCAAUUGCCAGUUUAUUAUUAGGUACACCUAGCUAAAAAAAGAAUGCAGUCUAAUACAACAGUUCUGCAAUAAAUCCGACCUUCAUGUCAUCACCUUCACCCCAUUCAGCCAGUUCUUUUACAGUUUCUUUUAACGGUGAGGGAAGGCUAAAUAACACAAACACCUCUCUAUAUAACAAUACAGGUCAAUAACAGGACUGUUUUAUUAGAAUGCAUUAGUGGAGGUGAAUCAACACCUCUCAAAUAGUUUCAACAAAAACUGAAAACUAUAACAUUCAUGAAGGUAAGACAGAUAGGAUUAGACUGCAUUAGUUUUAGCUAAGUGCACCAAAUAAACUUGCAACUGAGUUGCAUAUACCACAUUUUCUUAGUUGACUGCUGACUUAAUCAACAGAACCAUGUACAGCACCCACCCAGCUGUGAGAAUGGUGAUAACACAGCACUGACAGUUUAUGCUAAUCAGGGUGCUUUGCUGAAGGUUUGCUAAUAAAAAUAUAUAGUUUGACAUUAUAACUGGUAGUAUGAUCACGUGACUGUCAGUGGAUAAUGAUAAUGAUGAAAGUUCACCGGUUCCAGCUUCUCAAAUACACACAAAGAAAACAAAACAAAACACAAGAACAAAUACACGACACAACGAGUCCCUGCCUCUCGCCGUCCACUGACAGCAUCAAUGGACCACUGGGGGAAGAUGACAGCUGCGUAAGAUUGAUGAGCCGUAGGCCAAAGGGUGCAUCGCCAUCGACAUCCUUAGGAAGCACUUUGACUUGGCUUCCCUCGGCUCCCACAAAACCCUGUGACAGCUGAUACAGAGUUUUUAACUAUGCACCCACGAAUCCCAAUGACACCAAGCCUUCACAUGUCUCAAUUCAGGAUGUCCUGAGUGGGUGUCGAGCCUGGGUGCAAGCCCGGUCAUGCCCCAAACCACGCCCUUGGUGACACCGCGGUCUGGGGAGGGGACAGAGAGGAAGUGGAGAUGUCAUGGGUCUGGGGUUUUUUUUUUUUUUUUUUUUUAAAUUGAUGAGUGGACUUGAAUGAGGACCAGGCAAAGCUGGCCUUUUGAAGACUCUUCAAGCCAGAACAAAUUUA
Siniperca chuatsi (mandarin fish) is the source of this 8005-nucleotide long non-coding RNA. RefSeq lists it as uncharacterized. The record is from RefSeq and is a predicted model, not a curated record. NCBI's taxonomy places the organism in Eukaryota, Metazoa, Chordata, Actinopteri, Centrarchiformes, Sinipercidae. The transcript is spliced from 2 exons.